UAUUCUGACCGUGCAAAGGUAGCAUAAUCACUUGUUCUCCAAAUAAGGACUUGUAUGAAUGGCCACACGAGGGUUUUACUGUCUCUUACUUCCAAUCAGUGAAAUUGACCUUCCCGUGAAGAGGCGGGAAUAAAAAAAUAAGACGAGAAGACCCUAUGGAGCUUUAAUUAACUAUUCCAAAAGUUAAACAAUUCAACCACAAAGGGAUAAAACAUAACUUAACAUGGACUAGCAAUUUCGGUUGGGGUGACCUCGGAGUACAAAAAACCCUCCGAGUGAUUUUAAUCUAGACAAACCAGUCAAAAUAACCAUAACAUCACUUAUUGAUCCAAAACUUUGAUCAACGGAACAAGUUACCCUAGGGAUAACAGCGCAAUCCUAUUCUAGAGUUCCUAUCGACAAUAGGGUUUACGACCUCGAUGUUGGAUCAGGACACCCAAAUGGUGCAACCGCUAUUAAAGGUUCGUUUGUUCAACGAUUAAAGUCCUACGUGAUCU
RNAcentral lists this ribosomal RNA (497 nucleotides) under Sus scrofa (pig). RNAcentral's name for it is "partial 16S ribosomal RNA". It matches the Rfam family "Bacterial large subunit ribosomal RNA", at positions 1938 to 2606 of the family's 2925-position model. Lineage: Eukaryota; Metazoa; Chordata; Mammalia; Artiodactyla; Suidae. The record is from RNAcentral.